AUCGCUGGAUGGAUGGACCACCCGCCGCUGGAACCGUUCGCUGGCGCUAGCUCGACGGGUCGUCAUAGCACUUUGCUAUGCGUCCGUCACCUUGCUUCGAUGAUCGCCGCGUAGAGCCACCUCUCCACAUGUGUGUUAGCGGAUGUGGCUCACCGUUAGACUUGCGUCCGCACGUGUUAGGCUUAGCUCGCGCACGUUCUCUUUCAGGGCGAACAUUGUUUCAUUGAAAUAAAAUCUGAAGUGUCUUUGUGAUGACAAAACAAAAUGUGCAUGUAUGUGUGCCUGUGUCACUUAUUGAGUCCGUGUCUAUUUACUCGUCUUAUGUAUUGAUUGUCCAUCAAUACAUAAUGUAUACAAAUAUAUUAGUUCGUCUGUUAGGGAGCGCGUUCGAAUCGUGUUACUGUCAGGAUGUUACCGUUUGCCUAAUCAAUUUUUCCUUUUCAGCAUUUCGGUAUUGUUUCGAUGUGGUGCAUUAAUCGUUCUGCUUGUAUUUUUCAGGACUUCACCAUCUACGUUUCACUUUAUAAUGUCGUUUCUUAUUUUACAGCCAUUAUUUCUGAUUUACUGUGCCCCUCACAAUAAUCAAUUUUUCUUUCAGCGUCUAUGCAUUGUUUCGAUGUGGCGCAUUAAUAAUUCUGUCCAUUGUUGUCCAUCAGUAUACAUAAUAUAUUGGUUCGUCUAUCCGCCGUACGUUAGGGUGUCGGCGCUAGUCAAUAUUGUUGGUGUUGUCCUAAUUCAUCUUUCCUUUUCAGCAUUUCCGUUAUUGGUUCGAUGUGGUACAUUAAUCGUUCUGCUUGUAUUUUCCAGGUUUUCACCACCUUCGUUUAUUUUACUGCAAUUACCACUGUUUGUGUCAUUUCAUUCCUUAAUCCCAAAGAUAAUCUGUUUGUCUUCCAGCUUUUAUGCACUGAUUAAUCAUUCUGCUCAGAUUUACAGGUCUUCACACAUUUGUAUUUACUGUUAUAGUGUCUUAUCACUUGACUGCUACAUUAUUACUGUUAUUUCAUUGUUUAUCAUUUUUCUUAGGUGCCACAAAAAUAUGUGAAUAUAUACAGGCUCUGAUGCAGCCAUGAAGACUUAUCAAACUGCUACGGAAAUGUAUAUCUGUACAGAUGCCACGAUGCAGCCCUGAAUAAGUACGAACUGUGUCACUAAAAACUGGCAGAAUAUGAAUGAAAACACAGAAGGAACGCUUUGUCAGUCAGUAUGCCUGUGUCUGGUUACAAGGAUCAGUUUUCUAUCUAUGUGGUGCCUUGAUAGCUCUGCUUUAUGUUUCAGAACCCAGUUAUCUGUGCCACUUGCUGUUCCUGAUGGGUUCCUGUAGCGUUCAGUUUGUUGUUGUAUUGAAGUUUUGCAGUUACUGUCUAGCCCUUUGUUUGUUUCAGGUGGGUGUCGUUCUGGCUAGCACCAGGGACUUUUCCAGCUUCCUGCCCCAUCCCAAGGACGUUACAACACCAUCCCCCCAACCCAAAAACAGCAGAAACAGGCGUCCACAAAUCCAUGGCUUGCAUAGGUCCAAUGCUACAAGAAAGUUUCUGCACCAGGAGCUUGGAACUUGGAAGCUGCUCGUUUGGAUUGCUCAGCACAAGUUGAAGUAUGUUGUACGAGAAUGCAGCCAACGGAAAUAAAAGGAAGUCGUCACCAAGUUCCUGGACCAGGAGCUACCAAAGUCAACCGUACAAGAUCCAAAGGAUGAACCUCAAGUGGAUGCAGCCCGUGGACCCACAGACACUGUCGCUGUACUUCAAGCACCUUCAGUCUACAAGCAUCAUGCAGCCAUCACUGCAGUCUUGUUCUCAACCCCUCAUGUACAGCAUACCGUUACUUUUCUAUCGUGUAACGAGCGUAAUGGAAAUGAACUUUGACCAGAGACUUGGAGUGGUCGGACAUUGCUUCAUACCAGCUGAACCCUGUGGACAUUGAGAUGGCUGCGAAAGUAGCUCCUACCCGCACUAGGCUACAUGUUGUCGUAGACAUGAAAUAUAGCUGUAAGAUUAUUCCCCAUAGUUUCCUACACACUAAUGCAUACUGCUCCAAAGAUUGUAUAUGUGUUCCCCUUUUAUCCCACAUUGCUUCACUGCUGCUUAGCCCACCUAUGUUCGAAUGAUGCUCAACCAUUUUUGUAUGUUGCACGAAUGUUUUGCAUGUAUGUGUGUGUGCAUUCACGUGUACAAGCCAUGCAUUUCAAACCAGGGCACAAACAUUGAACUGCUCUGCGAGAGUAAAUUUUUUUAAUCCCAUCUGCACAGCUUCAGGCUAUUACGCAUGGUGGUGUGCACGUGAAAAUAUGUGUGUGUGUGUGCAUGUGUGUACGUACGGCAAAUGCUGAAGUGGCUCUUUACACUACUAACCCCCUUUCAAUGGUGGAAUGUCAUUUGCUGGGUGGACUAGUGUUGCAGUGAAGUCGGCGACAGUUUGGUUUUCAAAUGAUCAGGUUGGAUCCGCCUGGUUGUUUGAAAAGGCAGCUGAUUAUUUCCCAAAUAUCCCCUCAGUGUUGUUGUUAUCUACAGAUGCCUAUUGUUAUGAUUAAAUGAUGUAUAAUGUUUGAUUCCUUUCUGUGUAGUAAACAGUUCAUUGUCAGUGCUUUAAUUAGGUGUCUUCACAUAGUGCUUUUCAUGUUCUAGUGCUAUAUAAAUAAUGAAAACUUAAAAGUUGUCAAGGGCUCCUACCUUAUUUGGAAAACUUUUGUGUGUAACAUAAUGAUUGAUUCCUUUCUGUACAUUAGUUAGAUGUCUCCACCUAGUGUUUUUCAUGUUCUGUUGCCACAUAAAUAAUGAAAAAUUAAGUUGUCAAUGGGUUGUACCUUAUGUGGAGACCUGUUUUCUGUAUAAUAUAAAUAUUUUACGAUUCAUUCCUUUGUGUACAUUAAAUAGUUCAUUGUCAGUAUCUAAUGAGGUGACUUGUUUUGUGUUCUGAUGCUAUUGUGUAUGCUAUACAAAUAACCAAAAAUUAAAAGUUGUGAACGGUGUUUCUUUAUCAGGAAACCUUUCUCUGUACUUGAACUAGGACGUAAAAGAAUGCUCCGCAACCAUAUUCAAUAAACAUGGCUCAAUGGCCUUGAUUGUUGCAUUUUUCUAAAUUUUGUCUUCCUCAGUAGCCCUAUGGGUAUUGCGACCCUGUUGCUAUAGUUUCAGACAGCUAGUGUUCCUGUGUAUGCCACAACUCUGCCCUAUAAUUGGUCAACAGAAGCUAACCAAUGCAGUCUAAAGGAAACCUCCAUGAUUCCCUUCUGGUGCCUUUGUCGUAAGAGAUAUCAAGUCAGGAGUGAGAGAUUCCUUGUGCCACCUGCUUCAGUCAGCCAAACACCACAGAGAAAUUUGAGCCAAAAACCUACCACAAGUGGCUGCUUUUGUGGAUGAAGUGGCUUGCUACUGUUGCAGUAGGCAGUAAAAGUGUCGUUGAGAAUGGCAGGACAACUAAUUCCGCGUCACACUUAGCAGUGGCCAGAACUUGUUUGCUCUAGAAUUUAUGAAUGUGUGCAAAUACCACCAUGUACCAGUUUGAAAUAUCUUGCAUAAACUUUGUGCAAUGAAAAUAAUAAAGAUUCAAUGCUUUCU
This is a long non-coding RNA of Ornithodoros turicata, 3557 nucleotides long. RefSeq lists it as uncharacterized. The record is from RefSeq and is a predicted model, not a curated record. The transcript is spliced from 3 exons. Lineage: Eukaryota; Metazoa; Arthropoda; Arachnida; Ixodida; Argasidae.